UCUGGGACAAGCCCUGGAAACGGGGUCUAAUACCGGAUAACACUCGCCGAGGCAUCUCGGUGGGUUGAAAGCUCCGGCGGUGAAGGAUGAGCCCGCGGCCUAUCAGCUUGUUGGUGAGGUAGAAGCUCACCAAGGCGACGACGGGUAGCCGGCCUGAGAGGGCGACCGGCCACACUGGGACUGAGACACGGCCCAGACUCCUACGGGAGGCAGCAGUGGGGAAUAUUGCACAAUGGGCGAAAGCCUGAUGCAGCGACGCCGCGUGAGGGAUGACGGCCUUCGGGUUGUAAACCUCUUUCAGCAGGGAAGAAGCGAAAGUGACGGUACCUGCAGAAGAAGCGCCGGCUAACUACGUGCCAGCAGCCGCGGUAAUACGUAGGGCGCAAGCGUUGUCCGGAAUUAUUGGGCGUAAAGAGCUCGUAGGCGGUCUGUCACGUCGGAUGUGAAAGCCCGGGGCUUAACCCCGGGUCUGCAUUCGAUACGGGCAGACUAGAGUGUGGUAGGGGAGAUCGGAAUUCCUGGUGUAGCGGUGAAAUGCGCAGAUAUCAGGAGGAACACCGGUGGCGAAGGCGGAUCUCUGGGCCAUUACUGACGCUGAGGAGCGAAAGCGUGGGGAGCGAACAGGAUUAGAUACCCUGGUAGUCCACGCCGUAAACGGUGGGAACUAGGUGUUGGCGACAUUCCACGUCGUCGGUGCCGCAGCUAACGCAUUAAGUUCCCCGCCUGG
Molecule: ribosomal RNA, 727 nt
Filed under: Streptomyces sp.
Lineage: Bacteria; Bacillati; Actinomycetota; Actinomycetes; Kitasatosporales; Streptomycetaceae
Description: bacterial SSU rRNA
Rfam family: Bacterial small subunit ribosomal RNA
Source: RNAcentral